ACGCUGUCCCUGCAGUUUUGGGUGAGAUCCUCAGUAAAGGAUGUCAUGGUCAGGCCAAAAAGUCACAAAAUUUCAUGCCCUCUCCUGGGCCAAUUCGAGGUAUUUCCUUUACCUUCCAGAGAUAUAUUUUAGGAGAAAGUUGUAAAGGAAUUCAGAUUUAAGUCACAUGUGCUUGUUUGCAGAUACAACAUACAUUUUGCUUGAAUAUCAAAUCAACAGAUUUUCAAGCAAAGCUUCCUAAUCAACUAAUGUUUUAUAGCCAAAAUUCAAGUACACACAUACUCAAGUUUUUGUCUUUUCCGUAGGUGUGUGAUUGUUAUAAAAAACAUAUGUACCAGCUUUUGGGUAAUAGAUCUUCUUAUAUGAACAGAAUUGUAAACCCACAUUAUUCACACAGUUUAUACACGCGUUCACAUAUGCACCCCUGGAUCGUCUAUAUGAACGCCCAAGCACGUCCAGUAUUAUAGCUGGCAUAUUUAUUGAUUACAUGGUCUAUACACAGCAUAGAGCACAGUGCAUUUGCACACCGGGUCCUCAUAAAUAAAUAUCGAUUUGAAAUAUACCUACAGGAUACACACAUCUAUUCAAAUACAACAUGCAUAAAUUUCAGCUUAGCUUAUCCAUUAAAAGCAAACUUUCCCCCUUUCCCCAUUUAUUGUCUUUCUUUUUGUUUUUCCUUCUCUUUCUUAUCCUUCCCUCUGUCUAGAUUUUCUCCUUUUCUAUUGAUAAGAUUCUUUCCAAAAGCCGCCCCUAUAGCACAGGCACUCACCGGCUGGGCUGGUCCUGGCCAGGGUCGGCCUCUGCUCUCCCCACCUCGGGCUUCCUCCUCGCUCUUGGCUGCUCUGGGCCCCAGUGUGGCCAAGGGUCGCAGCUCUUCCCUGCCUUCCCUUCUCCGAGCCACCAGUUCCUGGCCCUAGCUGUGUUCAGGCGCGCGGCUCCUGUGCUGGGAAUGACUAGAGGCUUCCAGGGAAGGCAAGAGUUUCCUUCUUUCUCUUUAGGAUCGGGGUGGGAAGUGGGGAGCAGUUUGCUCUCUGGACAAAGUGAACCCCUACUCAAGCAACCUCUCCAUUCAGCAUCUUUAGAAGCUGGACUCCAGGGGCUGCAAUCCUGUUUGCCUCCCUCCUCCACGGUAAAGCCAACAGCAGACUCCAUACGUCUGGCAAAUGGAGAACAGGUGCUUUACCCUAACUGUGAUUCAUACGCUCUGCGCUCAGCUUUCUCGCUGUUGAGUCCAGGGAGCUCCC
This 1244-nucleotide long non-coding RNA is filed under the name Mustela putorius furo (domestic ferret). Its description in RNAcentral is "lncRNA (ENSMPUG00000024381.1)". The record is from RNAcentral. Lineage: Eukaryota; Metazoa; Chordata; Mammalia; Carnivora; Mustelidae.